GUAUUUGAGCCUGUGGGUACUAAUUAGGGUCCUGCAGUAGCUUCAACUUGAGUGAAAAGAAAGCAAAGAGACAAGAUACAGGUAGAAGGUGCCAGCCUGUGUACCUCUUUGCUGAAGGGCUUGCCAAAGCACCUGGACCCUGCUGCUUGUGCCUAAGUUGAUAACCAUCGCAGAUGUUCCCUUCUGAGAAAUGACCUUGACUAAUGUCUGCAGCUGAUGUGUACAAAGGCCGGCCCUCUUCCCUCAAGGUGAGAGCAACUCUCUGAUGAAGUUCAUCCCCCCGGGCUUCUCCAGGGAUCAGGCUGAAGCUGGUCUCCA
This is a long non-coding RNA of Bos indicus x Bos taurus (hybrid cattle), 318 nucleotides long. The record is from Ensembl. NCBI's taxonomy places the organism in Eukaryota, Metazoa, Chordata, Mammalia, Artiodactyla, Bovidae.